GGAUGCGAUCAUACCAGCACUAAAGCACCUGAUCCCAUCAGAACUCCGAAGUUAAGCGUGCUUGGGCGAGAGUAGUACUAGGAUGGGUGACCUCCUGGGAAGUCCUCGUGUUGCAUCCC
Oryza sativa Japonica Group (Japanese rice) is the source of this 119-nucleotide ribosomal RNA. The record is from Rfam. NCBI's taxonomy places the organism in Eukaryota, Viridiplantae, Streptophyta, Magnoliopsida, Poales, Poaceae.